UAUAUUGUGUAGUAAGCUGUUAGUAGCUCAUGUGCGUCACCCUAAUAAUUUGGUCUAUAUUCACCUCUUAAUUUCGCCAACUGUUCUGACUUGGUGGUGCACAUGUAGCCUUUAACCUGUUUUAGAGAAAUGUCAUCAUUGAAUAUUGUAAGAGCUUUCAUUGUCUGCUUAUAUGCCCCUUUAUUUAUCCUACGCUUCUGAGUUGGUGUUCAGGGAGAACAUUGUAAGAACGGCCCAUGUUCUGAAUUCUGUCGCUGUACAUUUCAAAAGUGCUGAACAAAUAGUUAUAUUGACUACGUCCAUCCUAGCUCGCUCAUUAAUGUCUUAAUCGAAGUUACGGAUCGCCUCUUAUCCGCUUGUCGUCCCCUUAUGCCAUAGUUUGAAUAUCUCAGUUCUUAGUAGAAACCACAUUUGUUUAAACAAGUCAGCCAUAUCAGCUAUGUUUUUUUUAAAGGCAGUAAAUGAGGCUGAAUGAACUGUUUCGCUGCCAGACAAGGCUCCGCUGAUAGCCAGGUGUAGCAGUGGUAAGGUGUUGGUACUGCUGUUGGGACUCUGCUGUUGGUACAGCUUUAUGUAGGCCCUAACAGUUUGUGGGCACCGUUUGUCACCGUUAUAGUGCAAUUAAUGUAUUGUUUAGUGUUGUGUUAUGUAGUGGCUUUGCUGGCAUGCAUCCCCCCCCAAAAUGUUUUAGUUUGCCCCACCAAGAUUUACAUGCUAAAAUCUCCACUGGAAUUGGGGCUGAAAUCAUAUCCUCCCCAGUCCAGCCGUCUCUCUCUAUACGCCGGUAUAGCAAUUGAGCCUGGCGGCGCUGUAAGUCUAAAGAUGCAACCAAGGUACCAGUCAUGCUUAGUUUCUGCUAUUCUAAUCCUUAUGUAUCCAACUGAACCCGGGUUUGAAAGACUAGGCCAGUCAUCAGGUCCAGGGAAGGUUACUUUAAUGGCCUCUGUUAUAUUCACAGAUUAGGGACAACAAACUGGGCAUGUGUGGCUAGAAACAGAGAUUGGAAUGGAACUAAUCUCAUCCCCAGUCCAGCCUCUCUGUAACUGAGCCUGGGGAGAAGGUUAAGAUGUAACCAAGGUUGAUUGUGUAGUAGGAUCCCCAGUCCAGCCGUCUCUGUAACUGAGCCUGGGGAGAAGGUUAAGAUGUAACCAAGGUUGAUUGUGUAAUAGGAUCCCCAGUCCAGCCUCUGUAACUGAGCCUGGGGAGAAGGUUAAGAUGUAACCAAGGUUGAUUGUGUAGUAGGAUCCCCAGUCCAGCCGUCUCUGUAACUGAGCCUGGGGAGAAGGUUAAGAUGUAACCAAGGUUGAUUGUGUAGUAGGAUCCCCAGUCCAG
This 1332-nucleotide long non-coding RNA is filed under the name Salmo salar (Atlantic salmon). RNAcentral's name for it is "lncRNA (ENSSSAG00000121580.1)". Lineage: Eukaryota; Metazoa; Chordata; Actinopteri; Salmoniformes; Salmonidae. The record is from RNAcentral.